Eriocheir sinensis (Chinese mitten crab) is the source of this 444-nucleotide long non-coding RNA. RefSeq lists it as uncharacterized. The transcript is spliced from 3 exons. Lineage: Eukaryota; Metazoa; Arthropoda; Malacostraca; Decapoda; Varunidae. The record is from RefSeq and is a predicted model, not a curated record.
CUUGGCCUUGGCGGAAGAGCGCAGGCGGCUGGACUGGGCAGACUUCUGUGUGACCACUCGCCUUGUAAACCAGCCCUACGGCUGGCUUCCAGCCCAGGCAAAAUCGUCCAGCCCAAGGGUGGCGAGGUAAACAACAGCGCCAACAACGCACUGGUUCGAAUACGGCAGCGGAAGGUGGAGGCUGUGGGAGGCAGGACGAGGGGCUCACAACGGAGUCGUCACGCCGACGCCACAGAGGGAAGGCUCCUCCAGUCCUCAGCAUCAUCAGAGCGUCAAGGAGCCCUGCUGAUGACCUGCGCGUCAUGACGCAUAGGUAUGGUCAUCCUUUUGUACGCUUCGGUCAUGUUUGGUUGGUUUCUUGGGGUGUUGACGCGCCCUGCACAUAACGGUGUCGCCGCGCUGCCCAGCCGGCGAGGCGCAGCAUGCUGGCGCCUCGCUAGCCGG